GUUAGCAAAUGAGAUACAAAGGCUUGGGAAGGGCUUAUGUUUUGGGGUUUAUCCUGUCAUGUUGCUCUUUGGAACUCUCAUAUUAGUGCUGGAAGAAGCCUGCUUAAGCCUAUCAGAGAAUGAGCAUGUGGCACAGAUAUAAGCCAUUUCCAGCUGAGGCUCCUCUAGACCAAACAGACCAUCAACCAUCAGAUGUGUGAGUGAGAUCUUCCCGGAUUAUCCAGCUUCCUCAAAAUCAUGACAAAAUAGUAAAUGUUUAUUGUUUUUGGCUACUAAGUUGCAAGAUGGUUUGUUAUACACAAACAUAGACCACCACCCCCCCCACCCCCCGCCCACAGCAUCAACUAAUAUAUAACUAAAAUCAAACUCUUAGCCUCUAAAUUUUUUAUAUACUUCUCUGGCUUCUAGUUUUUUCCUGCUGACUCUCUUCUCUUUCAUCAUCUCCUAUCAUUCAUUUCUUUUACUCAAUCAAAAAUUGGGAAAUAUUUCAGAUUAUAAAAAUGAAAGUGGAAGUCCCUAUUUUCAGAAAGUCAGUUCAAUAAAAUUCUCUUCCAUGUUAUUUUCACCAGUAACAACAUUCAUGAUACUCACACACAUAGUAUUUCUUCCAGUACAUAAUCACUCAGUAGCCUGUGCAUUCAAGUUGUAUUGCUCUUAGAUUUCUUUGAACAAAUAUAAUUUUCCACCAAAUAGAAGGGAAACAUAGAAUAUGGCAGAGAAACUGAAUAGUUUCAUAAGAGAAGAUGGUUCAUAUCCCGUUACCCUGGCAACAGGCACUGGGAACGCCAGGGCUCCCCACACAUCCUGUUGCCCUGACAACAGGUCAGGCAGGGCAUGGGAAGGCCCAGUUCCCACUCUUCUAGUCCUUUUCCUUGCAACCACAAAGAAAAAGGAGAAAGUGAUUUUGCAUUUUGUUCUUCCCUACCAGAAUAUUUCUUCUAUUAUCUGAACCAUUCCAUUAUAAGAUUAUCUUUCCAGAUGUAAGAGAGGGUAAGAAAAUAGUGACCUAUAUUUUUAUAUUCAUAAUUUCUGAAACAUUUGCUAAUUUUUGACUGAGCUAAAAAUGAUAGGAAAAAAAGGAGAGGGAGGGAAUAAAGCAGUAGAGGUAGUAAAUUGUGGAAACCAGAUCAGUAGUGCACGAAUAAUACAGCAGCCAAGAGCUGAUUUGGAGUCUCUGUCACUUACCUACAUUGGUUAGGCUUAGCUAAUUUUUAAGGCGUUCACCUGUGAAAGUCAAAUCUGUGAAAUACUUGCUUAUUUGUUUCCUGUAUUUUGUGAGCAGGCAGUGCAUAGCCAAACACCAUAAAAUGACAUUCUGUUAUAAGUUUUUUUGCCCAAUUAAUUUUCAGUUCCAUACAACUUUUCCCCUUUUUAAGUUUCUUAUUCAAGUUUUAUUAUCUUUCAUCACUUAUCUUUUCUUACAAUACAGAGUUGAUAAGAAAGCAAGCUGAUUGAAUUCUUAUUUUCCUUUCCUCUCUCUUUGUUACUUAAGCAAUUGGUUUGAUUAUGUAAAAGAAAUACGCUUUAUUUUGGGGGCUGGAAGUUAUUUUGUCUUUAUAAUUUUUAGUUUUGUAUAAACUAGUUGUCUGUUUAAAACUGUCAAAAACAUUUGUUGUUGUUGUUUAAUUGCUAAGUCAUGUUUGACUCUUUUCUGACUCCAUGGACUAUAGCCUGCC
This 1676-nucleotide long non-coding RNA is filed under the name Capra hircus (goat). RNAcentral describes it as "lncRNA (ENSCHIG00010010172.1)". The record is from RNAcentral. Lineage: Eukaryota; Metazoa; Chordata; Mammalia; Artiodactyla; Bovidae.